UUUUUGUUCUUUACUCUUCCCCUCCCCUUUUCCCCCUCCUUUUUCUUUCUCUUCUCUUUUCUCUCUUCUUUCUUCUCCCUUCUUUCUUUUCCCCUUCCCCGUGAUACUUUUUUCUUCCUCCCCUUUUCUCCUUCGUUUCCCUCCUUGCCCUUUUUUCUUUAUUCCAUUUUUCGUUUUACUUCCUCCAUUUUAGUUUUCUUUUUUUCUUGUUCUUAUUUACUUUUUUUGUAAAGGUGUAUCCCUUUACACCUCUAUGUACUCUUUUCUUUCCCCCUUUUUUCUUCCCAUUUUCCACCUUCUUUAUUUUGCUUUCCCCUCCUUCUUCUUGUUUCCUCCUUCCCCCACCCUUUUUAUUUUUUUCUUCUUUCCCCUCCCCCCAUAUUUUUUGUAGGGCUGGUGGGGUUUUUUUUCCUCUCCUGCUUUGUUUUUACUUUUUUUUUUUUUUUUUUUUCCUUGCAUUUCCGACAGCCAGCCGCGCAAGAAGCAGCUGGUACAGAUUUAACCCUCUGCAAUCCCAUCUCCCACCAUGGAAAACUGAGCACAGCCAAGCCGUUGGACAACCUAAUUCCCAUUCCUACUUCCCGGGGAACGGGCGCGGCAGAGAGGGCUUGCGCCUUUGAGUUCUUCAAAUUAAUAACCCUGGGAAGGGCAGAGAGCCGGCAGAUGAAAGGCAAGGUACGGACUUUGAUCGUGCAAUCGGAGCCAUGCGGGCAGGCUCCCGAACCAUGUGGAGCACCCCUGAAGGUCAGCCUGGGCUGAUCAGAUUGCAGCAAGAGAGCCACGGAAAGCAGGGCAAACGGAGGUGGAAAAAUCUAUACACCCAAAUAUCUGCCAAGAGAUGAAAGAAAAGUUUGCCUCUGAUGCUGGGAUUUAUGAAUAAGGAUCAGCUGGCUGCACAACACCAUGCAUCCCUAUGAAUGAAUGAAUACCUUUCAUGAGGAAGAGCGAGCACAUGGAAAAGUGAUGGCUCUGCUACUCCUAAACUCUGGAAUUCUCUUGAUGUGCUGUUACAAGCCAGAGAGGAUCACACAGAGCACUGCAUACAUACGUACAUAUGCUUUAUCCAGUGAUCUCUAUUGAAGCAAACCUGAAGAAGGCUGCAGAUGAUGUACACAUUUCAGCUAUUAAAGGUCAUGGAUAAUUCAGCUAUUUAUCAGUUCAAGUAAGGUCAGUGUUACAUCCACGGGCAGAGAGCUCUGCCUGUUGCACAAAUGACACUGCCUGCCCUUAAUGCCCCGAGAAACUUUUGACAAGCUAAGCAUAUGUAACAAGCCACAAGCCUUACAUACAACUGCUGCAGUUCAUUAAUGUUCUACAGGAGGGUAUCAUAUCUGAAAUGGGUUCCAUUUCUCUAUCACAGCGCAUUUCCUCUCCUCUAAAGCACUCCACUGGUGAUUUCUGAGAAAGAAAUUGUAUCCCCUGAUGGAGAAGGAAAGCUCACUAACUAGUGAAUUGGUGGUUGUGGCUCUCCCCAAGAACCAUUCUACUUUGCUGCUAUUUAGGAAUAUUGUACCCCACAUACUAAACUAUUGGUUCAUUUACUUUUUUCAUACAUACAGAAAAAGGGACCUUGGAAAACAAUAUGUGCCAGUUUUAGACUUCUACUGGAGCUAAAAUCAGGCUCUUGGUUGAAUUCCAUAACACAUAGUUUUGGAGGAAAACACUGUUAUGUAACUCUUCUUUUUCCCUUUCUGGGAGACAACCUUGGUAGAAGAGUGUGUGAGAGGCAGUGAAAUCUUUUGCAGGCCUUGAAACAGAUGGCAAAGUAGGAGGGCAGAAGGUUACCUUAAGGUCAGGGUGUUUCCCAUCCUUAUUAGUAUAUCCAAAUGCUACAGGCAGGCAGGAACACUUCUGCUACAUUCACCUCCAAGAAACAACUUCUCACUUGAAGUAAUUUGCCCUGCAAAAUCCAGAACUAAAGGCAGUAUCUUCUUCCUGGAAGCCUUGUUAUUAUACAAAUAAGGACAAAGAAAUGAAGCAUAAUUUCAAAUGUCUGUCCCUAAAUAACCAAUCUACCUUUCAAGAACUAAAGGUCUCACCAUGCUCCUAUAUGUGGCAUGGAAGGUGGUCAAAAGCGAUGAAGUUUGAAACCCAGACACCACAACUUUCCUGAUGUGCCUCACUCAGCCCUUCAAACAGGAGAGCAAACUCAGGAAGUCGUAGGUUGCAUCUUAGAACCAUUUAGUCAUUUAGGUUAGAAAUACCUCUAAGAUCAUCGAGUCCAACCACUAACACGGUGCUGACAAGUCCACCACAAACUAUGUCCCUAAGUGCCAUGUAUACACAUCUUAAAUACCUCCAGGGAUGGUGACUCAACCACUUCCCUAGGCAGCGGUUUGAAUGCUGAAGAAUCCUUUUGUUCUUUCAUUCUAAACCCAACUGAAUAUUAAAUUGUCAUAGAAACAUUAAGAGAAGGCCCCAGUCAUGCUGCAAAAAAGUCCCAGAAGUGCAUUUGGCUGUCCAUGGAUAGUGAAAUUAACCAUGAACUUUACAGAGUGACUCCUUGCAUGAAUGCUGUAAGAUUUCUUUUUAAUUAUAAGAACAAAAAGGGGGAAAAUUAGAUGUUAAAGUCUUUCACUGUUCUCACAGCUUAAAUACCUAUGGGCACUAAAUCAACACAAGUACGAUGAUGAAAUUAGUAAGUAAACAACUACAACCUUCACUGCUGCACAAAGAAGCUUGAAACCAAAGAUCAAUAUGAGUGAUCCCAACUCCAAAUGUGUAACCCAAAUCUAGAAGAAAAUGUCUCCUUAUGUGAGAUCAUAGUGGGGCCCAAGUGGCUUCAAGAAAAAGCAUACACGAACCACUCUCCCCUGUGAAAGCUCAAAAUUGGAUGCUCAAGUUAACCACCUGUGAGUUUUCCCACAGAAGCAGGACCUUGAACAGUGUUACUGCUGGCACCAGAUUCCCUGCAAUGACCCGGCAGCAUGUGAUUACCACAUAAGCUUCUCUUUCCUCCCCCAAAAACAAGCACAAAAAAUGAAGGAUGCUAACAGUCAGUGUCAUUAGGCACUGGAGAUCAUUGCACCUGUAACUCCCUACAUUUACUUCCCUCUUGGAGGAUUAUUUUAACAGUCUACUAAAUAACGUUAGCUAGCAAUGAAACAAGAACAGAUAACAAACUGAGGAUCUCAAUUUUCUACAGCUGAACUCCCAGCCUCUAUCACUGGAGUAAAAGUCCAAGUGAUGAAAUAAACCUUGAACUUUGUUGCUUUACUCAUCAUUUUUUGAAACAAAAGAGCACCUUGUCCCAGACACCGCAAUUUAGCAACUUCAUCUGUAUACGUGUCAGAAAGAGGGAGCAGAAAGCUCCAGCCAGCUAGUAUCCAAACAAGAGCAUUCCCCUGAUCAACAUCAUUGACUGGAAUUGCACUUGGAAAGGAUGCACACCAGUGCAGUUACUGUCACACCCUCAGGACUCAGUUCCAGGUAGGAAGCUGUGCUCCCAACCCAGUGGUCUCAAAAAGUGGUAGCAACCAAUCAUCUAGAUACAAAAUGAGUGGGAGAAUGAAAAGGAGGAACCAUUUACCACCAACAGGUUAGGCAGAACUCAACCUGCAUCAUCCUAUUAGCUCUCCCAGAAGCAAGUGAGCAGGAAGGAUGACAGAGAAGAGCUUUGAACUGGAACUCACUGGCAGAGGAAAGGGUGGGGGGGUUGUAAGGACCGUAGCCUUCUCACCUUCCAAAGUCCCCAAAGGAGUAAUGGGUACCUUGUGCAUGUGUACUGGUUCUCCCUCUAAUCUCAGCCACCUCAAUUGUUCCUGAGCACGAAACUCCAUUUCAUUGAAAAAAAGGAUAACAGAAUCUGUGUAUUCCUGAUGCAAAACAUUCCACUGCAACCCAAAAAAACCAAAAGAGAACUAUUUAACUAAGUAUUUUCCCCAUUUUUUGUCUAAGGUAAUUCCAAAUAAUGAGCAGGGGAAGGGAAAUUCACUAUGUUAUCCAGGUUCAUCCUAAAUCAGAUUGCAAGAUAUAUUAGAAAAAUAUAGCAUUUCACUUUAGAUAUGAUUGAAUAAGAAUUCCUACCUGGACUUAAUUAUCUUAACUAGACUUUCCAAUGGUUUUGUCCUAUUGCACUCUGAUUUAAACAGGUAUAACACAAUUUUGAAUCAUAUUUAAACAAGGUACCUCAACCAAUUUAAACUAUAUUUAGACCACAGUCUUUUUUUACUGCCACAGUUUUUACUGCUAAAGAAACCUAACAGAGGAACAACAUGCGUAGAACAUCUGUCGCAGUGACUGAAAGAAGUCUAUGACAGGAAUAGCAAACAGUUAUUUUCUUUCCUGAGAUGAUGUCAAUCUGUUGAAGCCAAGUAUCAGUAAGUAGAUUGUUUCUAAAAGGUACCUCACUCUGGCCUGUCUUCUCCAAAACAAAGAUGAUUAAAAUACCCCCUUGCUGCAUAA
Molecule: long non-coding RNA, 4404 nt
Organism: Melospiza melodia melodia
Lineage: Eukaryota; Metazoa; Chordata; Aves; Passeriformes; Passerellidae
Exons: 2
Source: RefSeq, a predicted model, not a curated record